This 71-nucleotide transfer RNA is filed under the name Fregetta grallaria (white-bellied storm-petrel). RNAcentral's name for it is "tRNA-Glu". The record is from RNAcentral. Lineage: Eukaryota; Metazoa; Chordata; Aves; Procellariiformes.
GUUUCUGUAGUUGAAAUUUACAACGGUGGUUUUUCAGGCCACAAGUCCUGGGGAGGGGCCAGGCGGAAACU